CCGGCGACCGGCGCACGGGUGAGUAACACGUAUGCAACCUGCCCGUGGCAGGGGGAUAAGCGGGGGAAACCCGUCUAAUACCGCGUAACGCGGCCUUGGGGCAUCCCAAGGCCGCCAAAGGGAGCAAUCCCGGCCAACGGAUGAGCAUGCGGCGCAUUAGCUAGUCGGCGGGGUAACGGCCCACCGAGGCGACGAUGCGUAGGGGUUCUGAGAGGAAGGCCCCCACACUGGUACUGAGACACGGACCAGACUCCUACGGAAGGCAGCAG
Molecule: ribosomal RNA, 269 nt
Filed under: uncultured bacterium
Lineage: Bacteria
Description: partial 16S ribosomal RNA
Rfam family: Bacterial small subunit ribosomal RNA
Source: RNAcentral